Molecule: ribosomal RNA, 429 nt
Filed under: Chloroflexota bacterium
Lineage: Bacteria; Bacillati; Chloroflexota
Also listed under: 1 other name
Description: Chloroflexi bacterium partial 16S ribosomal RNA
Rfam family: Bacterial small subunit ribosomal RNA
Source: RNAcentral
UAGGGAAUCUUCGGCAAUGGACGAAAGUCUGACCGAGCAACGCCGCGUGAGUGAAGAAGGUUUUCGGAUCGUAAAACUCUGUUGUUAGAGAAGAACAAGGACGUUAGUAACUGAACGUCCCCUGACGGUAUCUAACCAGAAAGCCACGGCUAACUACGUGCCAGCAGCCGCGGUAAUACGUAGGUGGCAAGCGUUGUCCGGAUUUAUUGGGCGUAAAGCGAGCGCAGGCGGUUUCUUAAGUCUGAUGUGAAAGCCCCCGGCUCAACCGGGGAGGGUCAUUGGCAACUGGGAGACUUGAGUGCAGAAGAGGAGAGUGGAAUUCCAUGUGUAGCGGUGAAAUGCGUAGAUAUAUGGAGGAACACCAGUGGCGAAGGCGGCUCUCUGGUCUGUAACUGACGCUGAGGCUCGAAAGCGUGGGGAGCAAACAGG